CUACGGGGCGCAGCAGUAGGGAAUCUUCCACAAUGGGCGAAAGCCUGAUGGAGCAACGCCGCGUGGGUGAAGAAGGUCUUCGGAUCGUAAAACCCUGUUGUUAGAGAAGAAAGUGCGUGAGAGUAACUGUUCACGUUUCGACGGUAUCUAACCAGAAAGCCACGGCUAACUACGUGCCAGCAGCCGCGGUAAUACGUAGGGGGCAAGCGUUGUUCGGAAUGACUGGGCGUAAAGGGUGUGUAGGUGGUUUGAUAAGUUAGAUGUGUAAUACCCAGGGCUUAACUCGGGUGCUGCAUCUAAAACUG
Molecule: ribosomal RNA, 305 nt
Filed under: uncultured bacterium
Lineage: Bacteria
Description: bacterial SSU rRNA
Rfam family: Bacterial small subunit ribosomal RNA
Source: RNAcentral